ACCACGGUGGUCUAGCGGUUAGGAUGCUGGCCUUGUAAUCCUGGGGUCUCGGGUUCGAUUCCCGGCGGUGCCA
This 73-nucleotide transfer RNA is filed under the name Zootermopsis nevadensis. It matches the Rfam family "tRNA". Rfam says of the family: Transfer RNA (tRNA) molecules are approximately 80 nucleotides in length. Their secondary structure includes four short double-helical elements and three loops (D, anti-codon, and T loops). Further hydrogen bonds mediate the characteristic L-shaped molecular structure. tRNAs have two regions of fundamental functional importance: the anti-codon, which is responsible for specific mRNA codon recognition, and the 3' end, to which the tRNAs corresponding amino acid is attached (by aminoacyl-tRNA synthetases). tRNAs cope with the degeneracy of the genetic code in two manners: having more than one tRNA (with a specific anti-codon) for a particular amino acid; and 'wobble' base-pairing, i.e. permitting non-standard base-pairing at the 3rd anti-codon position. The record is from Rfam by way of RNAcentral. Lineage: Eukaryota; Metazoa; Arthropoda; Insecta; Blattodea; Termopsidae.